Molecule: ribosomal RNA, 435 nt
Filed under: uncultured bacterium
Lineage: Bacteria
Description: bacterial SSU rRNA
Rfam family: Bacterial small subunit ribosomal RNA
Source: RNAcentral
AUGAAUGCUGGCGGCGUGGAUAAGUCAUGCAAGUCAAGGGGGCCCGCAAGGGCAACCGGCAAACGAGGUAGUAACACGUAGGUACAUCCCCCGAAGUCGGGCAUAGCCAUCCGAAAGGAUGGGUAAUUCCCGAUAGUCCCGCAAGGGUAAAGGUUUUUCGCUUUGGGAGCGGCCUGCGUAGUAUCAGCUAGUUGGUAGGGUAAUGGCCUACCAAGGCUACGACGCUUAGGGGAGCUGAGAGGCUGACCCCCACCGAUGGAACUGCGACACGGUCCAUACUCCUACGGGAGGCUGCAGACGAGAAUAUUCCGCAAUGGGCGAAAGCCUGACGGAGCGACGCCGCGUGCUGGAUGAAGUGCCUUGGUACGUAAACAGCUUUUAUCGGGGACGAAGUUUAUUGACGGUACCCGAUGAAUAAGGGGCUCCUAACUCUGU